CCUACGGGAGGCAGCAGUGAGGAAUAUUGGUCAAUGGUCGCGAGCCUGAACCAGCCAAGUAGCGUGAAGGAGGACUGCCCUACGUAUUGUAAACUUCUUUUAUAAAGGAAUAAAGUCUGGCACGCGUGCCUUGUUGUGUGUACUUGAUGAAUAAGCAUCGGCUAACUCCGUGCCAGCAGCCGCGGUAAUACGGAGGAUCCGAGCGUUAUCCGGAUUUAUUGGGUUUAAAGGGUGCGUAGGCGGACUGUUAAGUCAGCGGUAAAAGCCCGGGGCUCAACCCCGGCGAGCCGUUGAAACUGGCUGUCUGGAGAUGUCGAGAGGUAUGCGGAAUGCGCAGUGGAGCGGUGAAAUGCUUAGAUAUUGCGCAGAACUCCGAUUGCGAAGGCAGCAUGCCGGCGGCGAUCUGACGCUGAGGCACGAAAGCGUGGGUAUCGAACAGGAUUAGAUACCCGAGUAGUC
Molecule: ribosomal RNA, 459 nt
Filed under: uncultured bacterium
Lineage: Bacteria
Description: partial 16S ribosomal RNA
Rfam family: Bacterial small subunit ribosomal RNA
Source: RNAcentral